AGAUGACAGGCGUGAGCCGCUGCACGCAGCACUGGUGUUAUUUUCAACAUCCCAGCUCACAUUGAUGAUCCUGAUUCUGGAUGAGCAACUGCCUGAUGGGUGGGAAGUCAAGUGCUAGGAAGAAUGUUUGCUUGAUUGUUCUUUUUAUUCUGUGUUUUCCCCUUACGUUAAUAAUUCUGUCUUCUGGGCAGUCUCUUUUAGCAUCCUCUGAGUGGCCAGAAUUACGUUUAUCCAAACGAAAACGUAGGAAAAUUCCAUUUUCCAAAAGAAAAAUGGAAUUAUCUCAGCCAGAAGUUUCUGAAGAUUUUGAAGAGGAUGCCUUAGGUGUACUACCAGCUUUCACAUCAAAUUUGGAACGUGGAGGUGUGGAAAAGCUAUUGGAUUUAAGUUGGACAGAGUCAUGUAAACCAACAGCAACUGAACCACUAUUUAAGAAAGUCAGUCCAUGGGAAACAUCUACUUCUAGCUUUUUUCCUAUUUUGGCUCCGGCCGUUGGUUCCUAUCUUCCCCCGACUGCCCGCGCUCACAGUCCUGCUUCCUUGUCUUUUGCCUCAUAUCGUCAGGUAGCUAGUUUCGGUUCAGCUGCUCCUCCCAGACAGUUUGAUGCAUCUCAAUUCAGCCAAGGCCCUGUGCCUGGCAGUUGUGCUGACUGGAUCCCACAGUCGGCGUCUUGUCCCACAGGACCUCCCCAGAACCCACCUUCUGCACCCUAUUGUGGCAUUGUUUUUUCAGGGAGCUCAUUAAGCUCUGCACAGUCUGCUCCACCGCAACCUGCUGGAGGCCAUAUGACCAGGCCUUCUGCUGGCACCUUCCCUGAGCUGGAUUCUCCCCAGCUUCAUUUCUCUGUUCCUACAGACCCUGAUCCCAUUAGAGGUUUUGGGUCUUAUCAUCCCUCUGCUUCUUCUCCUUUUCAUUUUCAACCUUCCGCAGCCUCUUUGACUGCCAACCUUAGGCUGCCAAUGGCCUCUGCCUUACCUGAGGCUCUUUGCAGUCAGUCCCGGACUACCCCACUAGAUCUCUGUCUUCUAGAAGAAUCAGUAGGCAGUCUCGAAGGAAGUCGAUGUCCUGUCUUUGCUUUUCAAAGUUCUGACACAGAAAGUGAUGAGCUAUCAGAAGUACUUCAAGACAGCUGCUUUUUACAAAUAAAAUGUGAUACAAAAGAUGACAGUAUCCUGUGCUUUCUGGAAGUAAAAGAAGAGGAUGAAAUAGUGUGCACACAACACUGGCAGGAUGCUGUGCCUUGGACAGAACUCCUCAGUCUACAGACAGAGGAUGGCUUCUGGAAACUUACACCAGAACUGGGACUUAUAUUAAAUCUUAAUACAAAUGGUUUGCACAGCUUUCUUAAACAAAAAGGCAUUCAAUCUCUAGGUGUAAAAGGAAGAGAACGUCUCCUGGACAUAAUUGCCACAAUGCUGGUACUACAGUUUAUUCGCACCAGGUUGGAAAAAGAGGGAAUAGUGUUCAAAUCACUGAUGAAAAUGGAUGACCCUUCUAUUUCCAGGAAUAUUCCCUGGGCUUUUGAGGCAAUAAAGCAAGCAAGUGAAUGGGUAAGAAGAACUGAAGGACAGUACCCAUCUAUCUGCCCACGGCUUGAACUGGGGAAAGACUGGGACUCUGCCACCAAGCAGUUGCUGGGACUCCAGCCCAUAAGCACUGUGUCCCCUCUUCAUAGAGUCCUCCAUUACAGUCAAGGCUAAGUCAAAUGAAACUGAAUUUUAAACUUUUUGCAUGCUUCUAUGUAGAAAAUAAUAAAAUGAUAAUAGAUACUUAUAAUGAAACUUCAUUAAGGUUUCAUUCAGUGUAGCAAUUACUGUCUUUAAAAAUUAAGUGGAAGAAGAAAUACUUUAAUCAACUAACAAGCAAUAAU
Molecule: long non-coding RNA, 1870 nt
Filed under: Pan troglodytes (chimpanzee)
Lineage: Eukaryota; Metazoa; Chordata; Mammalia; Primates; Hominidae
Description: long non-coding RNA NONPTRT004422
Source: RNAcentral